RNAcentral lists this ribosomal RNA (239 nucleotides) under uncultured bacterium. RNAcentral describes it as "partial 16S ribosomal RNA". It matches the Rfam family "Bacterial small subunit ribosomal RNA", at positions 524 to 745 of the family's 1533-position model. The record is from RNAcentral.
UACGUAGGGGACCGAGCGUUGUCCGGAAUCAUUGGGCGUAAAAGGAGCGUGUAUGGCGGCCACUUAAGUCCUGCGUGGAAAUCUUGCGGCUGCAACCGCAAGCGGUCGUGGGAAACUGGGUGGCUAGAGUGCGGGAGGAGGAGAGGUGGCAAUUCCUGGUGUAGCGGGUAGGAAUGCGGCAGAUAGUCAAGGAAGAACGACCCGUGGCGGAAGGCGGCUCUCUGGAACGCAACUGGACG